Vombatus ursinus (common wombat) is the source of this 538-nucleotide long non-coding RNA. RefSeq lists it as uncharacterized. The transcript has 3 exons. Lineage: Eukaryota; Metazoa; Chordata; Mammalia; Diprotodontia; Vombatidae. The record is from RefSeq and is a predicted model, not a curated record.
GAAGUGACAUGGGCAGCAGAAUAUCAGUUUGGAAGCAGUGCAGAGAAUGAAUUGGAGAACAGAGAGCCCAUGGUGUUAUGGAUGCAGGGAGACUAAUGGGGAGGAUAUCUACAACAAUCUCAAUCUAUUCUCUGCAGAUGAUAAGUGUAUGGCUGGCUGCUGAAGAUUGAAAAGCCGGCUGACUUUUGCCCCUACGUGCAACAAAUCACAGGCUGAUUUCUCUACACAAAAGUCACCGAUACAUAAUAUUUAUCAGUACAUUAUACCAAGGGAAAGUACUGUGUGAAGGUAGAAGAAGAGAAAUGUUCUUGACAGCUGGAGAGACCACCCAACAAUGACUUCAUUUAGGGGGUUGGACUUUGAAGGACUGGGUUAGAACGUCUAUAAGACUAAAGGAAGAGGAAGCAUGCACUGCCUACUCUCCCAUUUGGGUUGCCAUGUAGCUGUGAAUGCAUGGUCCAGCUGUUUCUUCUGCACCUGUUGUGUUUCUACUUUCCCAAUCUUAGAGAAAGAAACUGAAGCCAGAGAAGAGAGGUGA